RNAcentral lists this ribosomal RNA (462 nucleotides) under uncultured bacterium. RNAcentral describes it as "partial 16S ribosomal RNA". It matches the Rfam family "Bacterial small subunit ribosomal RNA", at positions 338 to 795 of the family's 1533-position model. The record is from RNAcentral.
CCUACGGGUGGCAGCAGUGAGGAAUAUUGGUCAAUGGCCGAGAGGCUGAACCAGCCAAGUCGCGUGAGGGAAGACGGCCCUACGGGUUGUAAACCUCUUUUGUCGGGGAGCAAAGCGAGUCACGUGUGACUCAUUGAGAGUACCCGAAGAAAAAGCAUCGGCUAACUCCGUGCCAGCAGCCGCGGUCAUACGUAGGAUCCGAGCAUUAUCCGGAGUGACUGGGUGUAAAGAGUUGCGUAGGUGGCAUAAUAAGUAGCUAGUGAAAUCUGGUGGCUCAACCAUUCAGACUAUUAGCUAAACUGUUAAGCUCGAGACCGUGAGGGGUAACUGGAAUUUCUAGUGUAGGAGUGAAAUCCGUAGAUAUUAGAAGGAACACCAAUAGCGUAGGCAGGUUACUGGGACGGUUCUGACACUAAGGCACGAAAGCGUAGGGAGCAAACGGGAUUAGAUACCCUUGUAGUC